This 501-nucleotide ribosomal RNA is filed under the name uncultured Glomeraceae. RNAcentral's name for it is "SSU rRNA". It matches the Rfam family "Eukaryotic small subunit ribosomal RNA", at positions 548 to 1054 of the family's 1831-position model. Lineage: Eukaryota; Fungi; Glomeromycota; Glomeromycetes; Glomerales; Glomeraceae. The record is from RNAcentral.
UUGGAGGGCAAGUCUGGUGCCAGCAGUCGCGGUAAUUCCAGCUCCAAUAGCGUAUAUUAAAGUUGUUGCAGCUAAAAGCUCGUAGUUGAAUCUCGGGGUUAGUAGGUUGGUCGUGCCACCGGUAUGUACUGGCUUUACUGAUCCCUCCUUCUUGUAGAACCGUAAUGCCAUUAACUUGGUGUUGCGGGGAAACAGGACUGUUACUUUGAAAAAAUUAGAGUGUUUAAAGCAGGCUAACGCUUGAAUACAUUAGCAUGGAAUAAUGAAAUAGGACGAUCGAUCCUAUUUUGUUGGUUUCUAGGAUUGACGUAAUGAUUAAUAGGGAUAGUUGGGGGCAUUAGUAUUCAAUUGUCAGAGGUGAAAUUCUUGGAUUUAUUGAAGACUAACUACUGCGAAAGCAUUUGCCAAGGAUGUUUUCAUUAAUCAAGAACGAAAGUUAGGGGAUCGAAGACGAUCAGAUACCGUCGUAGUCUUAACCAUAAACUAUGCCGACUAGGGAUC